RNAcentral lists this ribosomal RNA (147 nucleotides) under uncultured Russulaceae. RNAcentral describes it as "partial 28S ribosomal RNA". It matches the Rfam family "Eukaryotic large subunit ribosomal RNA", at positions 1 to 144 of the family's 3401-position model. The record is from RNAcentral. Lineage: Eukaryota; Fungi; Basidiomycota; Agaricomycetes; Russulales; Russulaceae.
UUGACCUCAAAUCGGGUGAGACUACCCGCUGAACUUAAGCAUAUCAAUAAGCGGAGGAAAAGAAACUAACNAGGAUUCCCCUAGUAACUGCGAGUGAAGCGGGAAAAGCUCAAAUUUAAAAUCUGGUGGNCUUUGGCCAUCCGAGUU